Molecule: long non-coding RNA, 1034 nt
Organism: Panicum virgatum (switchgrass)
Lineage: Eukaryota; Viridiplantae; Streptophyta; Magnoliopsida; Poales; Poaceae
Exons: 6
Source: RefSeq, a predicted model, not a curated record
ACUGAGUCAUAGGUUUGGUUUUUUCAGAAGACGUGUGUUAUCUUGUUGGAUGGGAUUUCUUCUUCCGAAGAGAAAAGAUGAAACUAAAAAGGUUAGUGGCUCAGCGCUGCCCUCUAUCCGUGAUUUGAAGGGUUGACAUGCAGGAAGUCUCAUCAGGUGUUUACUGGGUCAGGAUCAGUUUGGAACUUGCAUGGGAGAUGCUGAAUAUCACUCUAUCUUUCUAAGAUUCCGCUAUUGUGUUGUCGAAGCCCUUUCCGGUUCCGCACCGGAAGGUUAAUACUCUGUUUCCUCAAUUCUAUGGCCCUUGCUCUCCCUUAGAUCUACUUCUUCUGCUGCCCAGUGCAGUGGAGCUGAUCUAUGCAGAUGGCAGCUGAGAUCGGUGAUGCUUCAGCUACUCAGUCAGCAUCUGCCCAUCUGUGUUUCCUUGCUAUGGCAACACGUUCUCAUCAACCAGGUGCUUAAUUAGAGCUAGCCCUGUGACGAUGCGGCAGAGAAGCACACCCAGCACGGAUGGGAGCAGCCCUCCAGCCAUUUGAUGAGAUGCCUAAUGAACCAUGAGUCCAUGAGACUAAAAACAAUGAAGAAUGAAUUGUGUUAGAUUUUUUGGUACAUUUAAAUUUACCAUCUCAGUUAUUACUGCUCAUUUCUGAAUACGUUAAUUUGAAACAUCACUUGCAGUUGAUGCUUUCGGUUGAUUACUACUCCAACAAAGAAGAAAACAAACACCCUUUUACAAAGAUAAAUGCUACUACAGAUUUUAGCACAUGUAGUAGCUUACACUCACUUGAUGUGCAUGGAUAGCACCAAAUGAGUUCAUGAAUACUUCGGCAAGUUCGAUCCCAAGCUGCUGGAGAGCUCAGAGCCCGAUGCCAUCCUCAAGCUCAUCGUCCCGGUACAGGAACAAGAUGGAGUUCUCGCUUGGGACAAAGAGAUGGAUGCAAAGGGAGUGGAAGGAGAAGGAGGAAGUAAACAAGGCUGACGAGAUAUUCCCCAUAACAUUUGAUUAACUCAUGAUCAGCUUUUUUAGGCUAUGA